This 119-nucleotide ribosomal RNA is filed under the name Pseudohaemophilus parahaemolyticus. Its description in RNAcentral is "Haemophilus parahaemolyticus partial 23S ribosomal RNA". The stretch from base 1 to 107 matches the Rfam family "Bacterial large subunit ribosomal RNA", at positions 2819 to 2925 of the family's 2925-position model. Lineage: Bacteria; Pseudomonadati; Pseudomonadota; Gammaproteobacteria; Pasteurellales; Pasteurellaceae. The record is from RNAcentral.
UAUAAGACUGUAAGGGUUGUUGGAGACUACGACGUAGAUAGGUGUGGUGUGUAAGCGGUGCGAGCCGUUGAGCUAACACAUACUAAUUGCCCGAGAGGCUUAACUAUACAACGCUCAAG